Molecule: ribosomal RNA, 625 nt
Filed under: Mucilaginibacter sp.
Lineage: Bacteria; Pseudomonadati; Bacteroidota; Sphingobacteriia; Sphingobacteriales; Sphingobacteriaceae
Description: bacterial SSU rRNA
Rfam family: Bacterial small subunit ribosomal RNA
Source: RNAcentral
AUGUAACCUACCUUAUCCAGGGGGAUAGCCUCUCGAAAGAGAGAUUAAGACCGCAUAACAUUAUUGAAUAGCAUUAUUUAAUAAUCAAAUAUUUAUAGGGAUAAGAUGGGCAUGCGGGACAUUAGCUAGUUGGCGGGGUAACGGCCCACCAAGGCGACGAUGUCUAGGGGAUCUGAGAGGAUGACCCCCCACACUGGUACUGAGACACGGACCAGACUCCUACGGGAGGCAGCAGUAAGGAAUAUUGGUCAAUGGGCGGAAGCCUGAACCAGCCAUGCCGCGUGCAGGAAGACGGCCCUACGGGUUGUAAACUGCUUUUGCAGGGGAAUAAACCUUGAUACGUGUAUCAAGCUGAAUGUACUCUGAGAAUAAGGAUCGGCUAACUCCGUGCCAGCAGCCGCGGUAAUACGGAGGAUCCGAGCGUUAUCCGGAUUUAUUGGGUUUAAAGGGUGCGUAGGCGGCCUAUUAAGUCAGGGGUGAAAGACGGUAGCUUAACUAUCGCAGUGCCUUUGAUACUGAUGGGCUUGAAUGGACUAGAGGUAGGCGGAAUGUGACAAGUAGCGGUGAAAUGCAUAGAUAUGUCACAGAACACCAAUUGCGAAGGCAGCUUACUAUGGUUAAUUGA